UUCCUGGAGUACUGGCUUGUAGUGCUCAUGUUGGAGCAUGUUGGUAAGAGUCACAGCGGUGCGAGUCAUGGUGCUCUGUCUUCCUCACACAAGUCACAUCGGUAUCUCCUCUGCUGGAAGGAAGAACCCAGGUUCCUCAAAUUUUAGUGAUAUCUUUAGCUUGAGGGAGUGAUAGCUAUUUAUGCUCAAAACAAAGACAAGUGCACAAAGGAUGAUGAAUUGAAGAAUGGAGCAAGUUUCAUGCAUGGUUUACUUUUGUGUAUCUUGUAAUGUUUCUAUUUUUCAUUUUUGAAGUAAAAAAUAUUUAAGAUUAUAAAACUUUAUUAUGUUAUUCUUUCAAACUUAAGUUAGAAUUAAGAUCUCAUGAAGUAGACACAUUCAUUGUUUGAAUUAGUUAUUGUUCAAUGCAAUACUUAUAGUUUAUCAAUCUAUUGAGAAUUACAUUUUAUGAUUAA
Molecule: long non-coding RNA, 455 nt
Organism: Humulus lupulus (European hop)
Lineage: Eukaryota; Viridiplantae; Streptophyta; Magnoliopsida; Rosales; Cannabaceae
Exons: 2
Source: RefSeq, a predicted model, not a curated record